Saccostrea cuccullata (small rock oyster) is the source of this 886-nucleotide long non-coding RNA. RefSeq lists it as uncharacterized. NCBI's taxonomy places the organism in Eukaryota, Metazoa, Mollusca, Bivalvia, Ostreida, Ostreidae. The record is from RefSeq and is a predicted model, not a curated record. The transcript has 2 exons.
AUGUGGCUAUGUUUUCAGUCAGGUGUAAAUUUAGGAUGGCUAAUGAAAAAAUAUAUUUUACUAAUUUUCUAUAAAAAUUGAUAAACCUGAGACACAAAUAUAAUAUAUUUUACAGGUUAGAGAUAUAUUUAACACAAUUUCAUAAGUCAAAGUCACUCAUAAAAAAAAUUAUUCAAUUUUUAGUUUCAUUAUUCCCCUUUUUUUGGAAGGUAAAAUGUGACAUUGCAUAGGGUCUUAUAUUAAACGGUUGUAUGAGCCUAUUAAAUCUUACUGUACAGACACAGUUCUCUUGCUAAUUUUACUAGCGAUGUUUCUUCAAUAAAAAUCAGUUUUUUUAGUUGCCAUGGAAACUGUCUUUAAUUAAUAAAAGUUAAAAUUAAAAUUGCGUGUCGGACGAACUCUUGUCUGUCCAAUUUACACUGGCCAAAAAUGAUUGAAUUGACAGAUGUUGCAUGCGUGUUUAAAGCUUCUUGCCGCUUUUCAGCUGUAGAUAUGCACUUUCUUGCAUGAUAAAAUUCAUUUCUAUCCAGAUAACAUUGUUUUUCUGUGAAAUAUGUUAAAUCAAUUAAAUCUUCUCCUUUGUCUGUCCUAUGUUACGGGCGAAAAUUGUAAACUUAAACACCGAUUUUUUCAAUCAACGGACCUCUCUGGGGCCCCUUUUACGACAUUCAUGUCUUGAGAUGGAAGAAAACGAGUGUAUCACGUGUUUACCGCAAACCAGUCUGUUUACAAGAUGGACGGAGGCAAGGAAAAAUAGUUGUCCGUCUCACUAAAGUAUUAUUUACCAAAGAGACAGUUGAAGAUCUUGAGAGGAACUUCAUAGCAGCUAUAUAUAGAUUAUUUCAAUAAUUACCUGAAUAAAUAUCUUUUAGAUGGAGAUAGAUCA